Molecule: long non-coding RNA, 507 nt
Organism: Oreochromis aureus
Lineage: Eukaryota; Metazoa; Chordata; Actinopteri; Cichliformes; Cichlidae
Source: Ensembl
GGGAAACAUAUCGUCAGCAGGCCGCAACACCACCCUGUGUGAAGGCUAUAAUUUUCAACACAGAACAUGGACCGCUUUGUGCUGAUCCAAACGCUCAGUGGGUCAAAGAUCUCAUUGCGAGCAUGACGAGGGUAUGAAGUACAAAGUGUGAGGUGAAGCAUCGCUGCCUGUCGGCUCAUCAGUAUCUCCUCAUGAAUUUUAUUCGAACUUUUCUUUGAAAUGUUUUUAUUACUUUACUCUUUUAAUUCUGUUCUUGUUCUUAUAUGACUUUAUAGUGACGACUAAUAAUGGACGUGAAUCUAUGCUUACACGAACCAACUGAUUUUCUUUUUUUUUUUAAGUUUAGUUACAUAUUUAGUUUCAAAUCUUCUUUUAUUCUUUAUUUUUUGCUUUUAUGAUUCCAUUUAUCUGUGUAUAUCAUGAUGUUUUGUAAAGCUGACUCUGACAAAUGAUAUCCAAAUGAACUUUGACCACCAGUCAUUCAAUAAAUCUAAUAUCUUAAUAAUC